RNAcentral lists this ribosomal RNA (253 nucleotides) under uncultured bacterium. RNAcentral's name for it is "partial 16S ribosomal RNA". It matches the Rfam family "Bacterial small subunit ribosomal RNA", at positions 524 to 776 of the family's 1533-position model. The record is from RNAcentral.
UACGUAGGGUGCAAGCGUUGCCCGGAUUUAUUGGGCGUAAAGGGCGCGUAGGCGGCUCGGCACGUCCGUUGUGAAAUCGCCCGGCUCAACUGGGCGGGGUCAGCGGAUACGGUCGAGCUUGAGCAAGCUAGGGGGCAAUGGAAUUCCCGGUGUAGUGGUGGAAUGCGUAGAUAUCGGGAGGAACACCGGUGGCGAAGGCGGUUCUCUGGGCCUGUACUGACGCUGAGGAGCGAAAGCGUGGGGAGCGAACAGG